Ctenocephalides felis (cat flea) is the source of this 588-nucleotide long non-coding RNA. RefSeq lists it as uncharacterized. The transcript has 4 exons. The record is from RefSeq and is a predicted model, not a curated record. Lineage: Eukaryota; Metazoa; Arthropoda; Insecta; Siphonaptera; Pulicidae.
CAAGUGAAAAUAGAGUAUCGAUGUAGUGCCGGUGGAUUGGUUGAUAUAUAAUGAAGGAUAAGAUAAAUUCGAAUGCCCAUUUUUAAAUAAUUAUGAGCUAUCGGGAGAAAAUUUACUUCUUCUUCAAGAUUUGGUGAAGCGUCGGGCGGCACCAGCAUCGGAUAAUUGGAGUCUUCAUGAGGUGGAUGUACGAGAUUACGCGAAUACAUAUUAAAUUGCCUUGGAAAAGUUAAAAAUAUUGCAACAAAAGGAAUAUGCGUUUUCUACGGACAAUGAAGAAACCAUAAACAGAAGGCAAGAUGUUCUGAAAAAACAAUACCGCUUGAAUAAAGGGCGUUUUGUAAAUCAGAAUAACGUCGAUCAGCAGUUGUCGGAAUGUAACAUAAAUUUAGGCAAUAAGUCGCGCAAUGCUUCAAUGUUUAAUGUCUUAAAGACAGUGAACUUGUGAAGUGUUUAUAUGGUAUAAUGACAACUGAAUCAAUUAAAAAUCCGCAGUUGAGCCCUAUUAAAGAGCAAGCAUUUAACCAAGCCCUCGGGAAGGUUAUAAAUUAUUCCCGUGAUUGGGAGAAUGGGAGAGAUCAUAGGCGG